CCCUUCUCAGGAUCACACCUGGAGAGUUUCCGCUAUUCUACCGGUCUCAACUACGGGAGGGAGAGUCAAGCAGAGGCAGACCCAAUCCAUUCCUAGCUUGGCCAGUGGCUAGCGAGUGGAAGGCAAUCUGCUACAAGU
This is a small nucleolar RNA of Tachyglossus aculeatus (Australian echidna), 138 nucleotides long. The record is from RefSeq and is a predicted model, not a curated record. NCBI's taxonomy places the organism in Eukaryota, Metazoa, Chordata, Mammalia, Monotremata, Tachyglossidae.